UAUGGGUGGAGCUGAUUAAUUAAUGUGGGUGCGAUGCACAGGUGGUGAGUAAAUGAGAUCGUCUUUGUCUGUGAACUGUGGUGGAGGUAUAGCCACACAGCACAUGUUUUUUUUAUCCUAUUUAAGUCAUUUCACAAGAGUUUUUGAUCUUAAUUUUGGAUCUGUUGUGGAAAAAAGUGGAAACUGUUCGUGAAUAAACAGAGAAAUCAAACGAAACGACGGAUCCAUGACUAUAUUUUGAAGUGGACACGCAUCAGGAACAAACAGUUUGUUUUGCCCGUUCACCUUGCAGACCACAGCUACUGUCACAGAGGGAGAAUCUCUGCACGCCGUGCAGAAAGUGACAGGAAGCCCAGAGCAUCCUGCAGGGACCAACAGCAGCACUCUGCUCAUCCUCCCAGACCGGCCCAGAAGAGGAAGAGGACCUCUGCGGACCGUCCUUCCACAUCUUCUGCCGAACAUCUGGUCCCGAG
This is a long non-coding RNA of Labrus mixtus (cuckoo wrasse), 473 nucleotides long. RefSeq lists it as uncharacterized. The record is from RefSeq and is a predicted model, not a curated record. The transcript has 3 exons. NCBI's taxonomy places the organism in Eukaryota, Metazoa, Chordata, Actinopteri, Labriformes, Labridae.